UACGUAGGUGGCAAGCGUUGUCCGGAUUUACUGGGCGUAAAGGGCGUGCAGGCGGUUUGUUAAGUGCAGGGUGAAAGCUCCCGGCUCAACUGGGAGAGGUCCUUGCAUACUGGCAGACUUGAGGGAGGCAGAGGAAAGUGGAAUUCCCGGUGUAGUGGUGAUAUGCGUAGAUAUCGGGAGGAACACCUGUGGCGAAGGCGGCAUCCUGGACCGAGAUUGACGCUGAGGCGCGAAAGCCAGGGGAGCAAACGGG
RNAcentral lists this ribosomal RNA (253 nucleotides) under uncultured bacterium. RNAcentral describes it as "partial 16S ribosomal RNA". It matches the Rfam family "Bacterial small subunit ribosomal RNA", at positions 524 to 776 of the family's 1533-position model. The record is from RNAcentral.